This 379-nucleotide ribosomal RNA is filed under the name uncultured bacterium. Its description in RNAcentral is "bacterial SSU rRNA". It matches the Rfam family "Bacterial small subunit ribosomal RNA", at positions 509 to 888 of the family's 1533-position model. The record is from RNAcentral.
CAGCAGCCGCGGUAAUACGUAGGGUGCGAGCGUUAAUCGGAAUUACUGGGCGUAAAGCGUGCGCAGGCGGUUUUGUAAGUCAGAUGUGAAAGCCCCGGGCUCAACCUGGGAACUGCGUUUGAAACUACAAGGCUAGAGUGUAGCAGAGGGGGGUAGAAUUCCACGUGUAGCAGUGAAAUGCGUAGAGAUGUGGAGGAAUACCGAUGGCGAAGGCAGCCCCUGGGUUAACACUGACGCUCAUGUACGAAAGCGUGGGGAGCAAACAGGAUUAGAUACCCUGGUAGUCCACGCCCUAAACGAUGUCAACUAGUUGUCGGGAGAGGAGACUUUCUUGGUAACGCCUGGACGCGUGAAGUUGACCGCCUGGGGAGUACGGUCG